UUACAGAAUCAUCUAGGUUGGAAAAGACCUUGAAGAUCAUCCAGUCCAACCAUUAACCUAGCACUGACCAUUCUCAACUACAUCAUAUCCCUCAGCGUUAUAUCAUCUGCUUCUUCAGA
Molecule: long non-coding RNA, 119 nt
Organism: Athene cunicularia (burrowing owl)
Lineage: Eukaryota; Metazoa; Chordata; Aves; Strigiformes; Strigidae
Exons: 3
Source: RefSeq, a predicted model, not a curated record